UGGGCGGGCGGAUCGUGGUGGCUGCGCUUGCGAGGACCCUGAGGUAGAUUGGGUGGUUUCAACAGGAACGCAUCCACUGUCUGAGAGUUUAAACUUGAUUUUGUGAGGGGACGAACAGCGUGACAAUUAAAAGAAGAUCUGGGAAUCAAAAGCUUCCUGAGGCCUUCACCAGAAGCAGAUGCUGGUGCCGUGCUUCUACAGCCUGCAGAACUGAAGGACUUUACAGCUUCUCUUUCGCAUAUCCAAAUUGCCAGCAUCACCGCUCUUGCACUCCAAGCCAUUAUUAAGUAAAGUAAAGAACACAAACACUGUGAUACUGCUACACUUGAUCUGAUAACCAAGAAGUCUACUAAGUGACUAACAGAAGAGAAGACAUGGAGAAGAGGAGGGAGUAGUUGUGACCGUGGAGGCAGAGAAUGGAGUAAUGUGAUCAUAAAUCAAGGAAUGCUGACAGCCACUAAAGCUGGAGAAGGCCAAGGACAGAUAUUCAAUCCUCCCGUAGAAGUACAGCCCUGCUAAUGCAUUGAUUUUGGACUUCUGGCCUCAGAACUAUUUAUAUAUCAGCUUUUUAUCAGUUGAAAUAAACCACCCUGGGCCGGGUGCAGUGGCUCACACCUGUAAUCCCAGCACUUUGGGAGGCCGAGGCAGGUAGAUCAUUUGAGGUCAGGAGUUCAAGGCCAGCCUGACCAACAUGGUGAAACCGCAUCUCUACUAAAAAAUACAAAAAUUAGCCCGGUGUUGUGGCAGGCGCUUGCAAUCCCAGCUACUCAGGAGGCUGAGGCACAAGAAUUCCUUGAACCUGGGAGGUGGAGGUUGCAGUGAGUCGAAACCAAGCCACUGCCCUCCAGUCUGGGCAACAGAUUGAGAGUCUGUCUCGAAAAAAAUAAAUACAUAAAAUAAAUAAGCCACACUGUACUUGUGAAGAUUAACUGAGAUGUUUAAAACAUUAUUUGCAAAAAUGCAAGACAUGAUGUAAGUGUAAAGCAUUAUUAUAUAUCAACAUAAUUGACCAUUAGAAAAAUGCAAAUUAACACCUCAAUGAGAUAUAUCACCAGACACCUGUUAGAAUGGUUAAAAUAAAAAGUACUGAUGAUAUUAAGUGCUGAUAAAAUGCAGAGUAACUCGAUCUCUCAUACAUUGCUGAUGCUAAUGUAAAAUGAUAUCACCACUCUAGAAAACAGUUUGGCAGUUUCUUAUAAAGUUAAACAUGCACUUACUAUACAACCCAGUAAUACACCUACUGGAUAUUCAUUCUAGGGAGAUCAAAAUUUACACCCAAAAACAUGUACAUAAAUGUUCAUAUCAGCUUUAUUUACAAUAGCCCAAAAGGAAACAAUCAGAUGUCCUCCAAUUGAUAACUGGUAUAACCCUAUCACAGAAUCCUACUGAGCAAUAAAAAGGAAAGCACUGUUGAUACAUACAACAACUUGAGUGCAUUUCAAGGCUGUUAUGCUGACUGAAAUAAAAGCUAAUCUCAAAAGGUUAUGUAUUAUGUGAUUCUGUUUAUAUAACAUUCUCAAAUUGCAAAAUCACAGCAAUGAAGAACUGAUCAGUAGUGCCAGGGGUUAGGGUUGUGGGGAGGGUGUGAUGAUGAAUGGGCAGCGUAAGAGAAUUUCUUUGGAGUGAUGGAAUAGUUUUAUAUCUUGAUUAUAGUGAUCAUUAUAUUAAACAAUUGCAUGUGAUAAAAUUCUAUAGGACUGUAUGCCAAAAAUAACUUAAUAUGUUUAUUUUUAAGGUCUGGAAAGCAUGGAAAUUUGUAUCUUCAUUCACUUUUGUUUUCAUGGACUCUUUUCAUGUUUGAACUUUUCAUGGUAUGAGCUGUUUUAUAAUCUAUAAUAUGGAAUGUUUCUCAUACGAAUGUUUUUCUUAUUGAAGAAUGCCAUAGAAAUAAGGGUGUGAGGUAUACUUACUUGACAGGAGAAUUUUACUCCUUUUAUUUUAUUUACUUAUUUAUUUUUAAGACGGAGUCCUGCUGUGUUGUCCAGGCUGGUCUUGAACCCCUGGACUCAAACGAUCUUUCUCCUUGGCCUCCCAAAGUUCUGGGAUUACAGGUAUGAGCUACAGUGCCCUGAGAGUCCUUUUUAAAGUAGUGAAUGCUCAAACAUGGAAUUAAAUUUAGGCAAAGCUCACUUUUAUUUAUACAUAAAACAACUUCAGCCAUGUACCUCAUAACGAUAUUUUGGCCAAUGUCUGACCUUAUAUACAAUGGUUGUCCUGUACGAUUAUAAUGAAGCUGAAAAUUUUCUAUUGCCUAGUAACAUUGUAGUAAUUGUAAUGUAGCACAACCUAUCACACGUGUUUGUAGUGAUGCUGGUGUAAACAAACCGACUGCAUUGCCAGUCUAGUAUAAAAGUCUAGCACACACAAUUAUCCACAGUAUAUAAUAGUUGAUAAUGAU
Molecule: long non-coding RNA, 2398 nt
Organism: Homo sapiens (human)
Lineage: Eukaryota; Metazoa; Chordata; Mammalia; Primates; Hominidae
Gene: TMEM161B-DT
Product: TMEM161B divergent transcript
Source: Ensembl